UUAUCUCUUUUAUAUUGUUUAAUUUAUGAAAAGAAAAGAAAAAAAGAUUUUAGUAUUUUGUCAUGGAUCAACGAGUUAAAUCGGAGACGGCGGUAAUAGGCCCUUAUUUUAGAGCAUUUACAUUUUUUUUUUUUUUAUGAAACCAUUCUUUUCAUGUCAAUUCUACGUCGCGUUCGAUCAGACGAUAAUCGCUAAAUCGAUUUGAAUUUGGUCGUGUAUCGUUCUUCUACAUAUGCGCGCGCAGAUUACAGUUAUAUGCACUAGUUCCGAUUGUUCAGUAUUGUUCGAUAUCGGACGCGAAAAUUUAAAGAGUUAUUCGAGUAUUGUAACCAUAUGAUAUAAAGCUCAAUCGCAAUUAAAUUAAAAGAAUAUACCUUAAAAAAUAUGUUAUAUACAGAACAAAAGAAUACCAUUACAAAAGGAUAAGCAAUCUCGUUACAAAUCCUGAUGCAACGAUUAAUAACUAAUUAUAAAGAAUACUUUUGGUAAUACUUUUUUGUAUUAUCCUUCUAACAUAUUGUUAAUAUUUUUUACAAUUCUGCAACGAAGAAAAAUAGCUGGAAAUAUAGAACGAAGUAUACAUAUAUAGAGAGAUGCAUUUUAGUCUAAAAGUGAGUAUUUGAAAAAUCCAUUAAUUCAACAUGUUUGUUAAAACACUCUAUACAUGUAUACAUAUAUAAAAAGUUGAAUAUUCAGAUGAAACGUCUUUUCUCUUUGAGUAUUGGAAAAAAGAAUUACUAUGUAAUUUUUUGUAAUUCUAGCAGUUAUUUACAAUGAAAGAUUAAUACAUACACAUCGUAUCGGUCAAUAAUUGUAUAAAAUUCAUAUUUUUAGAUUAUACAAAUAUUUGAAUAUAAGCAUGAUUGAUUCUAUUUCGAAUAAUUAUAAAAUAAUUAAUUAAUUUUAUUAAUUAUGGUUAAUUUCUUUCUUUUGUGAUAAUCUAAUGCAUAAAACAUGCAAUAUACUAAUCUUUAGAUUACUUUCAUCUUAAUAUUUAGACGAUGGAAAUAUCCAAAAGGUAAAAAGAUUGUUUAAAAAAUUUAAGUAUGCCCGUAUAAAAGUUCUCGAAAAUUCACUUAAAAAUUUCAAAAUAAAUAAUUCAAAAUAUCAAGUUAUAAAAGUACAAAGAUUGAUGGUAUAAAAACUGAUUUCUAUUGUCAAUUGUAUAUAAAAAGGAUCGUGAUUCAUAUCACACAUCUUAAACUCAUCAGUCGCAUAGAAUAUCACAGGAACGUUAGUAAGUGCCAUUGGAUUUAUGCAUAUCAAAUAUAAUAGAUAUUAUAUUGCUCGUGCACGUAUUAAAAAAUAUAAAGAAUAUUAAAAGAAAAAAAAUCUCAAUCAUUCCUUUUCAAUUUAAAAUUCAAAUUAUGCUAAUCUGUUUUCAUUAUUAAGAUAAUAUACUACUAUAAUUUAUAAUAUAAUUAAUAAUGUACAUUAUAAAAAGUUUUCUCAAUGUAUGCUUUGUGAAUGACAAAAAGCAACAAAAACACAAGCAAUAGUUAAAACAUGAUGAAAAAUGAAUAAUAACCAUACAAAAUGUCCUUGAUAAUUAUCUUACUUGUUAUUGCAAAUUUCAUUUUAUGUAUCAAAAUUGUAAAAAAGUCUUCGCUCUUCAAAGACUUAGACUUUUAAGCAAAAUAGUUUUCUAUUAUAUUUUGGAAAAAUCUGCUUCUCUUCUUUCGAAUUGUAAUAAGUUAUGCUGCUAUUAAUUGCCAUUUUAGAUUAGAGAUAAAAGAAAAUUCAAAACUUUUUUCUAGUAAAAUCUCAAGUCUUUUUUUUCUUUUUAUUUUUAAUUUCAAUAAUUAUUAUUUGUUUAAUGCAGCACAAUCAUAUUGACAACAAUAAUCAUAUAAUAAUCAUGCUCAUUGCUAUGGCAAUAGCACAAUUUACAAAAUUCUACACUAGCUGAUUCAAAUACUAUUAACACAGUUAUUUCUUUCGAAUAUUAGGGUAAAUUUAUCAUGAAUAGUAUCUUUAACGUGUAAAGUAAUACAUGGUACAGUAGUCAGUCACCUUUCUCUGGUCACAGAAGAGAAUAUUUAUGUAGUAUGAAUCCUAUGAAAUUAUAUUAUUCAUGAAAAAGACCGCCGUCUCCUCUUUUUCUUAUAACGUAUUGCCUAAUUAUAUUAAUAAUUAACAAACGUCACGCACAGGUUUUUUAUAGGGCACGCUAUAUCGUUUUUCGCGCUACAUGUUCCUAGCCAGUUACAUAGAGCCAUUUAUACCUCAAGAUAAAUUAAAGUUAAUUGAUAAUCAAUUGAAUUUUAAUCGAGCAUUUAGUUUGAUUGAAAAAAAAAAAAAA
This 2302-nucleotide long non-coding RNA is filed under the name Apis florea (little honeybee). RNAcentral's name for it is "uncharacterized LOC116415144". The record is from RNAcentral. Lineage: Eukaryota; Metazoa; Arthropoda; Insecta; Hymenoptera; Apidae.